AUACUAACCUUGCGUAGGGUAUACCGUGAUCAAGAAGGCGGUUGCCUCAGGCUGGUGCCGGCCAUUGCACUGCGGCAGGACUAGGCCAGUCUGUGACUAUUCCGUAUUGGGGUACGUCGUACGCAUAAUUUUUGCUAGUCGGGACUUGCGUACUGCGCGGUCCCUUG
Molecule: small nuclear RNA, 167 nt
Organism: Hyposmocoma kahamanoa
Lineage: Eukaryota; Metazoa; Arthropoda; Insecta; Lepidoptera; Cosmopterigidae
Product: U1 spliceosomal RNA
Exons: 1
Source: RefSeq, a predicted model, not a curated record